Parasteatoda tepidariorum (common house spider) is the source of this 403-nucleotide non-coding RNA. The record is from RefSeq and is a predicted model, not a curated record. Lineage: Eukaryota; Metazoa; Arthropoda; Arachnida; Araneae; Theridiidae.
AAAAUCUUUUUUUAAAAUCACUUAACAAACUUGUGGCAACAUCCGUGAAUGUUUGCAUGCACUUCGCUGGAGAAGCAUAGACGACUUUCCUUGACUUUCAGCUUUUCAUUAAUUAGUAACUCAAAAUGGCUGGUGCUAGUGUAGAUGAAAGUCAAUUUAAAGGAUGGCAAAAGCAUUUCAAUACCUAUACAACUCGUGGAAGAGCUAAUAUUACUUUUGCAACAUAUGGUGCACUAGCUGUUAUUGGUGUUUACCAGUGGUUGAAACCAAAGAAGAAGCCUGCAGCAAAAGAUGGACAAUAAAACUUAUUUUAUAGGAUGUUAAAUAACAGUUGAAUUGAUUUAUGUAUUUUUUUUUCUAUUUGUUAGUGUUCAAAACCUGUCAAAUAAAUUGAUUUAAUUUA